UCCGGCGUGGUCUAGUGACUAGGAUAUCUGGCUUUCACCCAGAAGGCCCGGGUUCGAUUCCCGGCGUCGGAA
RNAcentral lists this transfer RNA (72 nucleotides) under Rhipicephalus microplus (southern cattle tick). RNAcentral describes it as "tRNA-Glu". It matches the Rfam family "tRNA". From Rfam's summary of the family: Transfer RNA (tRNA) molecules are approximately 80 nucleotides in length. Their secondary structure includes four short double-helical elements and three loops (D, anti-codon, and T loops). Lineage: Eukaryota; Metazoa; Arthropoda; Arachnida; Ixodida; Ixodidae. The record is from Rfam by way of RNAcentral.